This 481-nucleotide ribosomal RNA is filed under the name uncultured bacterium. Its description in RNAcentral is "bacterial SSU rRNA". It matches the Rfam family "Bacterial small subunit ribosomal RNA", at positions 28 to 509 of the family's 1533-position model. The record is from RNAcentral.
GACGAACGCUGGCGGCGUGCUUAAUACAUGCAAGUCAACUUGACUUUAGAUAGCAAUAUCGAAAAGUAGGGUGGCGCACGGGUGCGUAACGCGUAGGUAAUCUGCCCUGAGGUCUGACAUAACCCGUCGAAAGGCGGGCUAACAUCAGAUGAUAUAUAGUCACGACAUCGUGGAAAUAUCAAAUCUUCGGAGCCUUGGGAUGAGCCUGCGUCUGAUUAGGUAGUUGGCGGAGUAAUAGCCCACCAAGCCUACGAUCAGUAGCUGGUCUGAGAGGAUGAUCAGCCACACUGGAACUGAGACACGGUCCAGACUCCUACGGGAGGCAGCAGUAAGGAAUAUUGCUCAAUGGGGGAAACCCUGAAGCAGCAACGCCGCGUGAAGGAUGAAAUACUUUUGUAUGUAAACUUCUGUAAGAUGGGAAAAUAUUCUCCUCGGGAGAAUUGAUUGUACCAUCAGAGUAAGCCCCGGCUAACUACGUGCC